GAUAAACGCUGGCGGCGUGCCUAAUGCAUGCAAGUCGGAUGUGCCCGCAAGGGUGCAUGGCAGACGGGUGAGUAACGCGUGGGGAAUCUACCUCUUUGUGGGGAAUAACGCUCCGAAAGGAGUGGUAAUACCGCAUGAGACCAAUGGCUGGAAUGUUGUUGGUGAAACCUGGGGACCGCAAGGCCUGGGGCAAGGAGAGGAUCCUGCGUCUGAUUAGCUAGUUGGCGGGGUAACGGCCCACCAAGGCGACGAUCAGUAGCCGGUCUGAGAGGAUGGUCCCCCACACUGGUACUGAGACACGGACCAGACUCCUACGGGAGGCAGCAGUGAGGAAUAUUGGUCAAUGGGCGGAAGCCUGAACCAGCCAUGCCGCGUGCGGGAUGAAGGCCCUACGGGUUGUAAACCGCUUUUCCCCGGGAAGAAUAAGCCCCCGCGGGGGUCGAGUGCCGGUACCGGGGAUAAGGAUCGGCUAACUCCGUG
Molecule: ribosomal RNA, 480 nt
Filed under: uncultured bacterium
Lineage: Bacteria
Description: bacterial SSU rRNA
Rfam family: Bacterial small subunit ribosomal RNA
Source: RNAcentral